RNAcentral lists this ribosomal RNA (786 nucleotides) under uncultured bacterium. Its description in RNAcentral is "bacterial SSU rRNA". It matches the Rfam family "Bacterial small subunit ribosomal RNA", at positions 8 to 796 of the family's 1533-position model. The record is from RNAcentral.
AGAGUUUGAUCAUGGCUCAGAGCGAACGCUGGCGGCGUGCUUAACACAUGCAAGUCGAGUGCGCGCCUGUAGCAAUACAGGUGGCGCACGGCGCACGGGUGCGUAACACGUGGGUAAUCUGCCCUUCGAUGGGGAAUAACUCGCCGAAAGGCGAGCUAAUUCCGCAUAACAUUCCAAGGACUUUGGUUUUUGGAUUCAAAGGCGUAAGUCGUCGGAGGAGGAGCCCGCGCACGAUUAGCUAGUUGGUGAGGUAAUGGCUCACCAAGGCUAUGAUCGUUAGCUGGUCUGAGAGGAUGGCCAGCCACACUGGAACUGAGACACGGUCCAGACUCCUACGGGAGGCAGCAGUGGGGAAUCUUGCACAAUGGGCGAAAGCCUGAUGCAGCGACGCCGCGUGGGGGAUGAAGCUUCUCGGAGUGUAAACCCCUUUCGACCCGGACGAAUGCCCCGCAAGGGGACUGACGGUACGGGUAUAAGAAGCCCCGGCUAACUACGUGCCAGCAGCCGCGGUAAGACGUAGGGGGCCAGCGUUGCUCGGAAUUACUGGGUGUAAAGGGUUCGUAGGCGGUGUGGCAAGUCGGGAGUGAAAUCUCUGGGCUCAACCCAGAGUCUGCUUCCGAAACUGCUGUGCUUGAGUGUGGGAGAGGCGCGUGGAAUUGCAGGUGUAGCGGUGAAAUGCGUAGAUAUCUGCAGGAACACCCGUGGCGAAAGCGGCGCGCUGGACCACUACUGACGCUGAGGAACGAAAGCUAGGGGAGCAAACAGGAUUAGAUACCCUAGUAGUCC